Molecule: ribosomal RNA, 496 nt
Filed under: uncultured bacterium
Lineage: Bacteria
Description: partial 16S ribosomal RNA
Rfam family: Bacterial small subunit ribosomal RNA
Source: RNAcentral
AACGAACGCUGGCGGCGCGUCUUAAGCAUGCAAGUCGAACGGCAAGAGAGGAGCUUGCUUCUCUCCUAGAGUGGCGGACUGGUGAGGAACACGUGGGUAAUCUACCCUUAAGAUGGGGAUAGCUUCUAGAAAUAGCAGGUAAUACCGAAUACACUCGGCAUAUCACAAGAGGGGUUGAGGAAAGGAAGCUACGGCUUCGCUGGAGGAUGAGCUUGCGUCCCUUUAGCUGGUUGGUGAGGUAAAGGCCCACCAAGGGGACGACGGGUAUCCGGCCUGAGAGGGUGAAAGGCCGCAUUGGGACGGAGAUGCGGCCAUAGGUCCUACGGGAGGCAGCAGCUAAGAAUAUGCCGCAAUGGACGGAAGUCUGACGGAGCGAGGCGAAGUGGAUGAAGAAGGCUGAAAAGUUGUAAAAUCCUUUUGUUGAUGAUGAAUCGGGGUGGGAGGGAAUGCUGCUCUGAUGACGGUAAUCGACAAAUAAGCCCCGGCUAAUUACGUG